GUACACAACUCGUCCACUGCGGUUUCCUGUGCGCCGUCUACGACCACCUGACGGCUGCCCGCCACGGCAUGUGGUUAGUC
RNAcentral lists this small RNA (80 nucleotides) under Xanthomonas vasicola. Its description in RNAcentral is "sX9". RNAcentral also lists the same sequence under 9 other names. The record is from RNAcentral. Lineage: Bacteria; Pseudomonadati; Pseudomonadota; Gammaproteobacteria; Lysobacterales; Lysobacteraceae.